UCCCCCACCGACUGCAGAACGCGAAGAACCUUACCCACACUUGACAUGUCUCUUGGGACUUUCAGAGAUGAUUGUCUUCGGUUCGGCCGGGGAGAACACAGGUGCUGCAUGGCUGUCGUUAGCUCGUUUUUGUCGUGAGAUGUUGGGUUAAGUCCCGCAACGAGCGCAACCCUUGUCGUAUGUUGCCACCAUUUAGUUGGGCACUCAUGCGAGACUGCCGGUGAUAAGCCGGAGGAAGGCGGGGCGACGUCAAGUCAUCAUGGCCCUUACGUGUGGGGCUAGAAACGUGCUACAAUGGGAGUGACAGUGAGCAGCGAGGUCGCGAGGCCAAGCUAAUCUCCAAAAGCUCUCUCAGUUCAGAUUGUAGUCUGCAACUCGACUACAUGAAGUUGGAAUCGCUAGUAAUCGCAAAUCAGCAUGUUGCGGUGAAUACGUUCCCGGGUCUUGUACACACCG
Molecule: ribosomal RNA, 456 nt
Filed under: uncultured bacterium
Lineage: Bacteria
Description: bacterial SSU rRNA
Rfam family: Bacterial small subunit ribosomal RNA
Source: RNAcentral